Molecule: long non-coding RNA, 834 nt
Filed under: Homo sapiens (human)
Lineage: Eukaryota; Metazoa; Chordata; Mammalia; Primates; Hominidae
Description: HSALNT0254102
Source: RNAcentral
GUUGACUUUAAAUUGGACUCUGCCAGGAAUUCCUUUUCCUCUUGGGUUUAGUGGUGAGCAGGAGGGACUUAGCAUAUCACAGAGCCCCCGGCAGCCAAGCUACCGGGUGUCCUGGCCCCCUUCAGUUCCCUCCCUUGUCCUCCUCGAGGACCCCCCAACUCAGGCACCCACACCACGGGGGGCUGCGGGACCCCGAGCCUCACUCGUGCCACCGGCCACCCAGCGUCCCCUGCAUCUUCCCCGGGGACUCACACACCGCCUCGAGGCCACUCCGCCCCUCCGGAUGGAUGUCCAAGCCUCCAGCCAGGGCCCCUUCCCUGCUUCAUCUCCAGGGUUGACGGAGGUCGAAGGAGCACAUGUCUGCUUGCAGGGCACGCCAGGUCCUGAUGGACACUGACGUCUAGACCUAGACGGUGGCUCAGCCUGAACCCUGGACGGCCUGGAGCACAGCCAUGCAACUGCUUCUAAGACAAAACCGAGGAGCAUCUGCCAACGUCUCCACAUUGUGGACCUGAGAUUGUUCUCCGGAAGCUGCAGUCGGAGCAUCGCCAGGCCCAGCCCUGGGUCCUCCACCCGGGCCACUGCCUCUCAGGCGGCCUCUCCCUGCCCCCGCCCCUCCGGGGCCCCACAGGGCGGCCAGUGCAGACCUGGGUGUGCAACGGCCCCAUCAGCGUUUGUUUCAUGAACAAAUAAAUGUCUAAAUUCAGGACCCAUCCAGGAGUCCCCUUUUUCUUUCAGUGAGAUGAAGUUCCUAUAACAUAGAAUUCCAGUGUGGGCAGCCGGGCACGGUGGCUCACGCCUGUCAUCCCAGCACUUUGGGAGGGCGAGGCGGGC